AUCCCAUGGUGAGGACACUUAUGAAGUAACUCCUUGUAUCGCUCCAAAGCCUCAUACAAAGACUUGUCAUCCAACUGUUGGAAAAUUGUGAUCUCGUUCCUCAACUU
Molecule: non-coding RNA, 107 nt
Organism: Gossypium hirsutum (cotton)
Lineage: Eukaryota; Viridiplantae; Streptophyta; Magnoliopsida; Malvales; Malvaceae
Source: Rfam